RNAcentral lists this ribosomal RNA (476 nucleotides) under uncultured bacterium. RNAcentral describes it as "bacterial SSU rRNA". It matches the Rfam family "Bacterial small subunit ribosomal RNA", at positions 9 to 507 of the family's 1533-position model. The record is from RNAcentral.
GAGUUUGAUCAUGGCUCAGGAUGAACGCUAGCGGCAGGCUUGACACAUGCAAGUCGAACGGCAGCACAGUAUGUAGCAAUACAUAGUGGGUGGCGAGUGGCGGACGGGUGAGUAACGCGUGGGAAUCUGCCCUAUAGGUGGGGACCAACCCGACGAAAGUCGGGCUAAUACCGCAUACGCCCUACGGGGGAAAGGCUUCGGCCGCUAUUGGAUGAGCCCGCGUCGGAUUAGCUAGUUGGUGAGGUAAUGGCUCACCAAGGCGACGAUCCGUAGCUGGUCUGAGAGGACGAUCAGCCACACUGGGACUGAGACACGGCCCAGACUCCUACGGGAGGCAGCAGUGGGGAAUAUUGCACAAUGGGCGAAAGCCUGAUGCAGCAAUGCCGCGUGUGUGAAGAAGGCCUGCGGGUUGUAAAGCACUUUCGGUAGGGAAGAUAAUGACGGUACCUACAGAAGAAGCACCGGCUAACUCCGUG